GAAACCAAUCAAUCAAGAAUGCCCAACCCUGAUUCCGACCAUUCAAAAGAUUGUGUUGAAUAACAAUAACUUUUGGAACAGCUUCUUCGGGGUUAUCCUUCGAAGCAAA
This is a non-coding RNA of Caenorhabditis elegans, 109 nucleotides long. It matches the Rfam family "SL2 RNA". From Rfam's summary of the family: This family represents SL2 RNA. SL2 RNA is involved in trans splicing in lower eukaryotes. Trans-splicing is a form of RNA processing. The record is from Rfam. NCBI's taxonomy places the organism in Eukaryota, Metazoa, Nematoda, Chromadorea, Rhabditida, Rhabditidae.